Molecule: long non-coding RNA, 2629 nt
Organism: Pipra filicauda (Wire-tailed manakin)
Lineage: Eukaryota; Metazoa; Chordata; Aves; Passeriformes; Pipridae
Exons: 2
Source: RefSeq, a predicted model, not a curated record
AUCCAUCUGUUUGCCUUUCUCCAUAGGGGGAGGGUGAUACAGCUGCUCCUGAUCCUCAGGAGCAGCUGGUAUUCGGUGUGCUGGGUUAGUAAGGGAGAGUUUUCUGGGAGUUGUGUUCCCUAAGAUUAUGUGUGGACUCAGCUGCUGGGUGGAAAGCUCUGCUGGAGGAAAAUACAGUUAUUUCCUACGCCCCAGAAGGAUGUUUCUGGUGCAAGACCCUUUGCAUUUUGUCCCUUUUCUUCUUCCCUUUUUGCAAUUUUCCCCACCUGAACUUCCUCCCCUUGAAAUCCCAAUAUCAACAUGGUCAAGCUGGGAAAGGGGAGCUGGAAUAGAGCCUGGAUUCUGGUAGGGAUAUAGCACUGGGCACCAGAAUAAUUGUCCUGAGUGUUUUGGACUAGUCCUGCUGAGCGGGGAGCUGGUUCCUGAUGAACCCUGAGAGCACCCUUGCUCAGAUCAUCUGAGAAACUUGUUGCAUUUUGGGGAUCUUUUCCCGAGGUUUCCUCCCCACUGUAGGAGCUUGUGGGCUCUGGUCCCACUUUGCCACCUCAUGCAAUGAGGGAGGGGGAAGAAAUCUCAGCCUGCCCCUCACCUUCAUCCACUUCCCUGCUUCCUCUCUUCACUUCCCCCCCCUGUGCAGCCGAAAUGCAGCCCCUGAGAGAAGAAAGGGCUGUGGGGUGGAUUUGCACAUGUGGCAGAGCAUGGCCCAGGCUGUGACUCCACAGGCACAGCAGGUCAUGGGGAUGGAGGUGGGAAACCCUGGUGAGAUUUAACAUCUUGCAAGGAGAAGUCUGGAGAGCACUGCAGGCAGAGGGGCGGUUGUUGGAUCAAGGAACACCAGAGCCUGGGAUAGAUAACAGGAAAGAAAUCACCUCCAGGAUAUAGGAAAAGUGGCCAAACACAUCCUGGCCUCAAAGUCCCUUGACUAACAGGGUGGGCUGGUGUGUGCAGAUGGUUGCUCCAGCUUUUCAUGAGGCUGGAGGGAGGGAUGUGGUGGCUUUCAGGCCCCAGGGAUGAGAGUUCUUCUCCUUUUGGCACUGAGCAGCAGGAGGUUGGGAACAUCCUGAGUGCAGCAAGACCCUGUGUGUGUGCACUGACCCCCUCCAGGGAGGCAAAGCCCUGGGGUGUGGGUGGAUAACCAGCUGUAGGAGCAUAAUUCCUGUGGCUUGUUAACAUCAACAUUACUCAGUGCAGCACAUACCCCACGCAUGACAAACCAGCAGGAUUAGGGAACCUUGGGAUUAGCGAAUUGUCACCGAGCUGAGACUCAAAAUGUGCUUUUUGGGUUCCCAGAGACAGCCCUGUGUUUGGAGAAGCCCAUCUGUUCGCGUGCGGUCCCUUUCCAUGAAGGGGAAUGUGGACCUCCCAGUGUCCCAAGCCCAUGGCUGCUGCUCGAGUGGAAAGUUACCCCAACAGCUCCUGAAGCCAGAUGAAUUUCAGGAUAUGAACAGCAUCUGUGAUAGGAAUCAAGCAAAGGAUGCUCAGAGCCCCCUGCAGUGGCUCAUCACCGAAAAAGAGGAGGGGGGGAAAAAAAAAGCGCAAAAAUGCCUAUUUAUAUGCCCUCCAACUGAGAUGCCACCAGCACUUUGCAGCCCAGAGUGGGCUUUCAGAUCUGCUUUUCCUUCCUUAUUUUCCAAAGAGCUCGGAGGUUCUCCUGGGCUGAUCCAGCCAAGAGGCAGGCAAGGAGGUGGAUGUGGAUGGAGCCAGAGCUGUACCAGGAUCCCCUCCCUGCCCUGCCUGCACCCACCUGCCCCCACACACAUCCUUGGGGGGUUCAGGUGCUCUGAGUAUCGCAGGUGUGUUCCAACUUGCUCCAUGGUGCCAGAGCUGUAGGAAAGAGGCUGAGGGUGGUCUCCUUUAGUGCAGAAGAGGCCAAAAGUCCCAGUAUGGAGUGCAGCUGGAUUUAUCCAGGGGAAAUAACUGAGCUGGAGUACCAUCCUUGUCCCCACUGAGUGUGGGGUUGUGAUGCUCCUACCCAGGGGCAGGGAAGGAAAUCAACCACCAGCUGCCCCCUCCUGAUAAAAAUACACAGAAUUAAUAAUAAUUAAUUCUCCCUGGGCAGCUUCACCCCUGAGAACCUUCACACCAGGCUCCCUCACCUUUCUCCUCUGUUAUCAGGGAUUAACGCAAACCUACAGAGGGAGGAAAAAUACCCCUCUGCUUUUCACUUUUUCCUUUAGAAAGAGCGAGACGGAGGUGUUACCCUCAUGCCUUGGGGAAACUGAGGCAUGAACAAAGCAGGAGUGAGUUCCUGAGAGCAGAGAAGGCUUUGGGCAGGGGAAAAAAAACGACAGAAAUGGAUUUCAGACCUCAGCAGGACUCAAGACUCAGGGCAGCUGUGGGAUCUCCAAGCCCAGGACAAUCCCUGCUCCGUUUGUCCUUCAUCCAGCUCAGAGGUGGCUCCUGCACCCUGUUAAAGAAAUUGGGAUUAUUGAGGAUCCCCCCUAUUACCUGUGGAUGCUUCUAAUUAGCCAGCAGCAGCAGAGCCGUGUGUUUUCCCAAGCCUGACUCCAGGCAGCCCCAGAGGGAGCUGGCACAGCACUGCCCGGGCAGAUGGGCAAGGACGUGUUCCCACUAAUCUGCCCCAAUCUGGAUUAUUUUUCCAAAUAAACUUGCUUUCCCAGCUGUUUUA